GGGUCAGUGGCACAAUUGGUUAGCGCGUUCGACUUUUAAUCGAAAUGUUGUGGGUUCGAGUCCCACCUGACCUAC
This 75-nucleotide transfer RNA is filed under the name Streptomyces phage TunaTartare. Its description in RNAcentral is "tRNA-Lys". It matches the Rfam family "tRNA". Rfam says of the family: Transfer RNA (tRNA) molecules are approximately 80 nucleotides in length. Their secondary structure includes four short double-helical elements and three loops (D, anti-codon, and T loops). Further hydrogen bonds mediate the characteristic L-shaped molecular structure. tRNAs have two regions of fundamental functional importance: the anti-codon, which is responsible for specific mRNA codon recognition, and the 3' end, to which the tRNAs corresponding amino acid is attached (by aminoacyl-tRNA synthetases). tRNAs cope with the degeneracy of the genetic code in two manners: having more than one tRNA (with a specific anti-codon) for a particular amino acid; and 'wobble' base-pairing, i.e. permitting non-standard base-pairing at the 3rd anti-codon position. The record is from RNAcentral. Lineage: Duplodnaviria; Heunggongvirae; Uroviricota; Caudoviricetes; Stanwilliamsviridae.